This 439-nucleotide ribosomal RNA is filed under the name uncultured bacterium. RNAcentral describes it as "partial 16S ribosomal RNA". It matches the Rfam family "Bacterial small subunit ribosomal RNA", at positions 339 to 795 of the family's 1533-position model. The record is from RNAcentral.
CUACGGGGUGCAGCAGUGGGGAAUUUUGCGCAAUGGGGGGAACCCUGACGCAGCAAUACCGCGUGAGUGAAGAAGGCCUUUGGGUCGUAAAGCUCUUUUCUGAAGGAAGAUAGUGACGGUACUUCAGGAAUAAGCACCGGCUAACUCCGUGCCAGCAGCCGCGGUAAUACGGAGGGUGCGAGCGUUGUUCGGAUUUACUGGGCGUAAAGGGCACGUAGGCGGCCUGGCAAGUUAAGGGUGAAAUCCCGGGGCUUAACUCCGGAACUGCUCUUAAAACUGCCAAGCUAGAGAUAGUCAGAGGCGGGUGGAAUUCCUGGUGUAGAGGUGACAUUCGUAGAUAUCAGGAGGAACACCGGUGGCGAAGGCGGCCCGCUGGGGCUAUUCUGACGCUAAGGUGCGAAAGCGUGGGGAGCGAACGGGAUUAGAUACCCGGGUAGUC